This 494-nucleotide ribosomal RNA is filed under the name uncultured bacterium. RNAcentral describes it as "partial 16S ribosomal RNA". It matches the Rfam family "Bacterial small subunit ribosomal RNA", at positions 29 to 507 of the family's 1533-position model. The record is from RNAcentral.
ACGAACGCUGGCGGCGUGCCUCAUACAUGCAAGUAGAACGCUGAAGGAGGAGCUUGCUUCUCUGGAUGAGUUGCGAACGGGUGAGUAACGCGUAGGUAACCUGCCUGGUAGCGGGGGAUAACUAUUGGAAACGAUAGCUAAUACCGCAUAAGAGUAGAUGUUGCAUGACAUUUGCUUAAAAGGUGCAAUUGCAUCACUACCAGAUGGACCUGCGUUGUAUUAGCUAGUUGGUGGGGUAACGGCUCACCAAGGCGACGAUACAUAGCCGACCUGAGAGGGUGAUCGGCCACACUGGGACUGAGACACGGCCCAGACUCCUACGGGAGGCAGCAGUAGGGAAUCUUCGGCAAUGGACGGAAGUCUGACCGAGCAACGCCGCGUGAGUGAAGAAGGUUGUCGGAUCGUAAAGCUCUGUUGUAAGAGAAGAACGAGUGUGAGAGUGGAAAGUUCACACUGUGACGGUAUCUUACCAGAAAGGGACGGCUAACUACGUG